CCUGGCUGCCCCGAGCAGACCGUUGCCCGCCGCCCCCACAGACGCUACCCCCUGGUGCUUGCCAGGCAGCACGCUGCCAGGCGGACUCCGAGGCGGCACCGGCGCUGCUGCUACAACGGAUGCGCCUACACCUGCCUGGAAGCCGUGCCGCCCCCACCAGGUGGGCGAAUCCUGAGACACAAAUUUUACAAAGAAUAUCCAGAAGGUGACUCAAAGAAUGUGGCACAACCUGGAAGGGGACAACAGAUGCACUUUCAAUAAAGCAACAACAGGCAGCUGGGUUGCAAGAACAUUUAUCCACACUUUCUGCUAAGCCUUGGAAAUAGUUGGGAAAAGUAGUUUGACCCUCAACGUUCACAUUCAGCUCAGCAGAGCAAGACCCCAGAGAUGCUUAGCCACAGGACACAUGGCCGUCAAUCCCAGCUUGGGCCAGCCUGGCUGGGCGACUCUGUGGGAGGCACUUCACAGCUCUAG
This 474-nucleotide long non-coding RNA is filed under the name Callithrix jacchus (white-tufted-ear marmoset). RNAcentral describes it as "lncRNA (ENSCJAG00000072395.1)". Lineage: Eukaryota; Metazoa; Chordata; Mammalia; Primates; Cebidae. The record is from RNAcentral.